AAAGGCGUAAUGAAAGUGAAGGUCCGCCUGGCGCGGACCGAGGGAGGAUGGGCGGACCCGAGGGGCCGCCUCGCACUCCCGGGGCGUCUCGUUCUCAUCGCGAGAAGAGGCGCACCCAGAGCGUACACGCUGGGACCCGAAAGAUGGUGAACUAUGCCUGGUCAGGACGAAGUCAGGGGAAACCCUGAUGGAGGUCCGUAGCGAUUCUGACGUGCAAAUCGAUCGUCGGAACUGGGUAUAGGGGCGAAAGACUAAUCGAACCAUCUAGUAGCUGGUUCCCUCCGAAGUUUCCCUCAGGAUAGCUGGCGCUCGCUUCUUGCGAGUCUCAUUCGGUAAAGCGAAUGAUUAGAGGCAUUGGGGUCGAAACGGCCUCAACCUAUUCUCAAACUUUAAAUGGGUGAGAUCUCCGGCUUGCUUGAACUGUGAAGCCGCGAGAUAUCGGAUCAGAGUGCCAAGUGGGCCACUUUUGGUAAGCAGAACUGGCGCUGUGGGAUGAACCAAACGCCGAGUUAAAGCGCCUAAAUCGACGCUUAUGGGA
This 538-nucleotide ribosomal RNA is filed under the name Polyphylla gracilicornis. Its description in RNAcentral is "eukaryotic LSU rRNA". It matches the Rfam family "Eukaryotic large subunit ribosomal RNA", at positions 710 to 1209 of the family's 3401-position model. The record is from RNAcentral. Lineage: Eukaryota; Metazoa; Arthropoda; Insecta; Coleoptera; Scarabaeidae.